This 85-nucleotide microRNA precursor is filed under the name Pan troglodytes (chimpanzee). RNAcentral describes it as "miRNA". It matches the Rfam family "mir-1244 microRNA precursor family". The record is from RNAcentral. Lineage: Eukaryota; Metazoa; Chordata; Mammalia; Primates; Hominidae.
AUCUUAUUCCGAGCAUUCCAGUAACUUUUUUGUGUAUGUACUCAGCUGUACUAUAAGUAGUUGGUUUGUAUGAGAUGGUUAAAAA